Molecule: ribosomal RNA, 424 nt
Filed under: uncultured bacterium
Lineage: Bacteria
Description: bacterial SSU rRNA
Rfam family: Bacterial small subunit ribosomal RNA
Source: RNAcentral
UGCCAGCAGCCGCGGUAAUACGGAGGGUGCAAGCGUUAAUCGGAAUUACUGGGCGUAAAGCGUGCGUAGGUGGUUGUUUAAGUCAGAUGUGAAAGCCCCGGGCUCAACCUGGGAAUGGCAUUUGAUACUGGAUAACUCGAGUUUGGGAGAGGCAAGUGGAAUUUCAGGUGUAGCGGUGAAAUGCGUAGAGAUCUGAAGGAACACCAGUGGCGAAGGCGGCUUGCUGGCCUAAAACUGACGCUGAGGCACGAAAGCAUGGGUAGCAAACAGGAUUAGAUACCCUGGUAGUCCAUGCCGUAAACGAUGUCAACUAACCGUUGGGUUUCUUCGUGAAACUUAGUGGUGGAGCUAACGUAUUAAGUUGACCGCCUGGGGAGUACGGUCGCAAGACUAAAACUCAAAUGAAUUGACGGGGGCCCGCACA